Molecule: long non-coding RNA, 1503 nt
Organism: Manis pentadactyla (Chinese pangolin)
Lineage: Eukaryota; Metazoa; Chordata; Mammalia; Pholidota; Manidae
Exons: 3
Source: RefSeq, a predicted model, not a curated record
UCAGGGAUUGGACAAUGCUGAGGGCCAUACAGCCCCACAGCAUCCUUCAGGACUGGUUGAGGGCUUUGUUGGGCUUCCGCCACAGUUCAACUUCUUCCUCCUCCAGCCCUUUGCUCCUCACCUCCUACACAGAUGUGGGUCCUUAGGCAGAUCUCCUGAAACUUCCUACCAACACAUCUUCUCAGAAUCUAUUUCCUGGAAAACCUGACUUAGGACAUGUGGGUACAAAUCUUUCAGUUUUCACCUCACUGACAUUAUCCACAUUACUUUGCAAUUUAAUUUUAGUUACCCACCCACCACUCCUUUCCGUAUGGUCUUUUUGUUUUUCUCCUGUGCUGUCCUUGAUAUUUAAAGGCUCCCUCCUGUGGAUUUCUUUUCUCUGUCCUCACCAGUAUUAGGAUGUAUCUGCUUUUUACUCCAUUCUCUUUCUCCAUGAGCCAAAAUGCAGACUUGCAAAGACAAAGCAUGAGGUUUCUGUGAUCCAAGGCAUUUGAGAAAUUCUGAAUUCAACAAACAGAAGUUGUUACAGGAGUUCUCAGUUUAAAAUGUUUCCACAACAUACAAUUAAUCAUUUCAAAGUGUACAAUUUAAUGGCAUUUAGUACAUUUAUAAUGUUGUACAAACACCACCUCUAUCUUGUUCCACAUCUCUAAGAGGAAAUCCUGCACCCAUUUCACAGUUACCUCCCAUUACCCUUCCUUCCAGCUCCUCACAACCACCGAUCUGCUUUUUGUCUCUACAGAGGUACCUAGUCUGGAUAUUUCAAAUAAAUGUUAUUAUAUAGCAUAAUAUGUGGCCUUCUUUCUGUGUCUGACCUCUUUCAUUUAGUAUUGUGUUUAGAGGCCUAACCCCAUUACACAUGUAUCUGUACAUCAUUCCUUUUUUAUGGCCAACUAAUAUUCCUCUGUAAGGAUUUUCCAUUUGUUUAUCUGUUCAUCAGCUGAUGGACACAGGCAGUUUUCAUCUUUUGGUUAUUGUGAAUAGGAUUGAAUGGUGAAUAUUUGUGUACAAAUUUUUGUUUGAAUACCUAUUUUCAUUUCUUCUGGGUGUAUACCAUGGAGUGGACUUGAUACAUCAGGUAAAUGGUCAAUGCAUGUGAAUCUUUCAACCACAUAAUCAAAACAAAGAAUGGCAAAUCUCCAGGUACCAGAACUGAAGAGAGAUGUCAAAGGCUUGAGUUUCUUCUUGGGAAAUCUCCACCUCUGCAGGCGGCAGCUGCUAAUAGCAGAACUUGAUGAGUAAGAUGCCAGGAUCCCAUCUGGAAUUCACCAAACCCUCGCCCACCCUACUCACCAGGGUCUGAAUAUUCUUUAAUCCAGCAAAAUUAACUCAAGAGCAUGUGGGACCUGAAUUCUGUGCUCUGCAUGUUAUUGCAGGUGCUGAAGGCCAAACAAAGCACCUGCUUUUUGCAUUUGAGAUGCACUGAAACAAAGCUCUGUUCUGGGAGCUCCACCCGGACACAUCAAGCAGAAGGCGGAAAGUUUACAUCUGGGAAUCUCUCUC